Molecule: ribosomal RNA, 1343 nt
Filed under: Bacteroides fragilis
Lineage: Bacteria; Pseudomonadati; Bacteroidota; Bacteroidia; Bacteroidales; Bacteroidaceae
Description: bacterial SSU rRNA
Rfam family: Bacterial small subunit ribosomal RNA
Source: RNAcentral
AUAAUGAUUCCGCAUGGUUUCAUUAUUAAAGGAUUCCGGUAAAGGAUGGGGAUGCGUUCCAUUAGGUUGUUGGUGAGGUAACGGCCCACCAAGCCUUCGAUGGAUAGGGGUUCUGAGAGGAAGGUCCCCCACAUUGGAACUGAGACACGGUCCAAACUCCUACGGGAGGCAGCAGUGAGGAAUAUUGGUCAAUGGGCGCUAGCCUGAACCAGCCAAGUAGCGUGAAGGAUGAAGGCUCUAUGGGUCGUAAACUUCUUUUAUAUAAGAAUAAAGUGCAGUAUGUAUACUGUUUUGUAUGUAUUAUAUGAAUAAGGAUCGGCUAACUCCGUGCCAGCAGCCGCGGUAAUACGGAGGAUCCGAGCGUUAUCCGGAUUUAUUGGGUUUAAAGGGAGCGUAGGUGGACUGGUAAGUCAGUUGUGAAAGUUUGCGGCUCAACCGUAAAAUUGCAGUUGAUACUGUCAGUCUUGAGUACAGUAGAGGUGGGCGGAAUUCGUGGUGUAGCGGUGAAAUGCUUAGAUAUCACGAAGAACUCCGAUUGCGAAGGCAGCUCACUGGACUGCAACUGACACUGAUGCUCGAAAGUGUGGGUAUCAAACAGGAUUAGAUACCCUGGUAGUCCACACAGUAAACGAUGAAUACUCGCUGUUUGCGAUAUACAGUAAGCGGCCAAGCGAAAGCAUUAAGUAUUCCACCUGGGGAGUACGCCGGCAACGGUGAAACUCAAAGGAAUUGACGGGGGCCCGCACAAGCGGAGGAACAUGUGGUUUAAUUCGAUGAUACGCGAGGAACCUUACCCGGGCUUAAAUUGCAGUGGAAUGAUGUGGAAACAUGUCAGUGAGCAAUCACCGCUGUGAAGGUGCUGCAUGGUUGUCGUCAGCUCGUGCCGUGAGGUGUCGGCUUAAGUGCCAUAACGAGCGCAACCCUUAUCUUCAGUUACUAACAGGUCAUGCUGAGGACUCUGGAGAGACUGCCGUCGUAAGAUGUGAGGAAGGUGGGGAUGACGUCAAAUCAGCACGGCCCUUACGUCCGGGGCUACACACGUGUUACAAUGGGGGGUACAGAAGGCAGCUAGCGGGUGACCGUAUGCUAAUCCCAAAAUCCUCUCUCAGUUCGGAUCGAAGUCUGCAACCCGACUUCGUGAAGCUGGAUUCGCUAGUAAUCGCGCAUCAGCCACGGCGCGGUGAAUACGUUCCCGGGCCUUGUACACACCGCCCGUCAAGCCAUGGGAGCCGGGGGUACCUGAAGUACGUAACCGCAAGGAUCGUCCUAGGGUAAAACUGGUGACUGGGGCUAAGUCGUAACAAGGUAGCCGUACCGGAAGGUGCGGCUGGAACACCUCCUUU